GGGUCCGAGCUCGCUCUCCGCAGCCCCAAAGAGAAAGCGAGUAUGCGCGAGUCAUCAGCUUGCGUUGAUUACGUCCCUGCCCUUUGUACACACCGCAAAAAAAGCCGCAGUCCCUCCCUCACCUUUUGGCGCAUUGGGAAAAUUUCCCUCCUGGUGCCCCCCGUAAGAAUAAAGNCGUUCACAUUUGUUCUCCUGCAU
This 198-nucleotide ribosomal RNA is filed under the name uncultured Candida. RNAcentral describes it as "partial 18S ribosomal RNA". Lineage: Eukaryota; Fungi; Ascomycota; Saccharomycetes; Saccharomycetales. The record is from RNAcentral.